This 585-nucleotide ribosomal RNA is filed under the name uncultured bacterium. Its description in RNAcentral is "partial 16S ribosomal RNA". It matches the Rfam family "Bacterial small subunit ribosomal RNA", at positions 355 to 1375 of the family's 1533-position model. The record is from RNAcentral.
UGGGGAAUUUUGGACAAUGGGCGAAAGCCUGAUCCAGCAAUGCCGCGUGUGUGAAGAAGGCCUUCGGGUUGUAAAGCACUUUUGUCCGGAAAGAAAUCCUCUGGGUUAAUACCUCGGGGGAGUGACGGUACCGGAAGAAUAAGCACCGGCUAACUACGUGCCAGCAGCCGCGGUAAUACGUAGGGUGCAAGCGUUAAUCGGAAUUACUGGGCGUAAAGCGUGCGCAGGCGGUUUUGUAAGACGGAUGUGAAAUCCCCGGGCUUAACCUGGGAACUGCAUUCGUGACUGCAAGGCUAGAGUAUGGCAGAGGGGGGUAGAAUUCCACGUGUAGCAGUGAAAUGCGUAGAGAUGUGGAGGAAUACCGAUGGCGAAGGCAGCCCCCUGGGCCAAUACUGACGCUCAUGCACGAAAGCGUGGGGAGCAAACAGGAUUAGAUACCCUGGUAGUCCACGCCCUAAACGAUGUCAACUAGUUGUUGGGGAUUCAUUUCCUUAGUAACGUAGCUAACGCGUGAAGUUGACCGCCUGGGGAGUACGGUCGCAAGAUUAAAACUUAAAUGAAUUGACGGGGUCAUAGCUGUUUCCU